GUGAUGCAUCUGGUAGCCCGAGCCAGAGCAUCCAGGUACAGUGCACGCUUUAUUGGGGUAGUCGCUCUGGGGACAGUCAUCACCCGAAUUUCUCGGACGCCCUACGGGCUGUAUACCGCUCUGCUACGAGGGUCGCUGCAUUCGCUACGCAUUGUACGUUCGUGAACUUCCGACCAAAUGUUCCGACAGUGUCGUUGGCGUCGCCGGUCACUUUCGCCUGAUGAAAAGUUGAUUAAGGCAUUCUUGCAAGCCAUUAUGAACGACGUUGCAACUCUGCCGCCCCUUGCCGCCUUCAUGGGAUCUGGUGUGCAAAGACAGACAACCAUAUCAACCUUCCGCUGAAACGUACGGCCCAGCACCACCACCACCACCAUAACCAACAACAAACAAAAAAGCGCCCAAGAAGAAGAGUUAGGCCCAAUUUACUUACGCAUCUUCCCUGCACACCAAUCAACACCAGAAGUACUCUGCACCCACAGCAAAAUCACCGUCGUUAACGCUGCCAGCAGAGCUGCCAUGCUGUUUGAAGUACUUGCCUUACAGCGGUUCACAGCAGAGUACAGCAAUUCUGUACGCACUGAAUAGGGGUUUGAGUUCGAGAAGCGCCCGCACAACGAUGCUCACGUGAGAGUUGAGUCAAGAAGUUUGUGAUUGAUGGCCACCUAAACAAAUAUAGUCGGCUUAUUUGAUAUGUACUAAACGCU
Ornithodoros turicata is the source of this 704-nucleotide long non-coding RNA. RefSeq lists it as uncharacterized. The transcript has 3 exons. The record is from RefSeq and is a predicted model, not a curated record. Lineage: Eukaryota; Metazoa; Arthropoda; Arachnida; Ixodida; Argasidae.